This is a non-coding RNA of Acanthosepion pharaonis, 109 nucleotides long. The record is from the annotation of a GenBank genome assembly. NCBI's taxonomy places the organism in Eukaryota, Metazoa, Mollusca, Cephalopoda, Sepiida, Sepiidae.
CGACCACAUCAUGUUCAAACACCGGUUCCCGUACGAUCACCAAAGUUAAGCAGCUUCGAGCUUGGUCGAUACUUAGAUGGGUGACCCUUGGGAAUUCCAGGUGCUGUAA